This 495-nucleotide ribosomal RNA is filed under the name uncultured bacterium. RNAcentral describes it as "partial 16S ribosomal RNA". It matches the Rfam family "Bacterial small subunit ribosomal RNA", at positions 28 to 507 of the family's 1533-position model. The record is from RNAcentral.
GACGAACGCUGGCGGCGUGCCUAAUACAUGCAAGUAGAACGCUGAAGGAGGAGCUUGCUCUUCUGGAUGAGUUGCGAACGGGUGAGUAACGCGUAGGUAACCUGCCUGGUAGCGGGGGAUAACUAUUGGAAACGAUAGCUAAUACCGCAUAAGAGUAGAUGUUGCAUGACAUUUGCUUAAAAGGUGCAAUUGCAUCACUACCAGAUGGACCUGCGUUGUAUUAGCUAGUUGGUGGGGUAACGGCUCACCAAGGCGACGAUACAUAGCCGACCUGGGAGGGUGAUCGGCCACACUGGGACUGAGACACGGCCCAGACUCCUACGGGAGGCAGCAGUAGGGAAUCUUCGGCAAUGGACGGAAGUCUGACCGAGCAACGCCGCGUGAGUGAAGAAGGGUUUCGGAUCGUAAAGCUCUGUUGUAAGAGAAGAACGAGUGUGAGAGUGGAAAGUUCACACUGUGACGGUAGCUUACCAGAAAGGGACGGCUAACUACGUG